Long non-coding RNA from Hemibagrus wyckioides, 181 nucleotides. RefSeq lists it as uncharacterized. Lineage: Eukaryota; Metazoa; Chordata; Actinopteri; Siluriformes; Bagridae. The record is from RefSeq and is a predicted model, not a curated record. The transcript has 2 exons.
AACUUAUGCAAGCCAUGGUGUAUGGACUGAUUUCAGGAGGUUUCUUACGACAUACCACGAGCCGUUCUUCAUACUUAGCAUAUCAGAUGGAAUUAGUGAAGAGAUGCUGAGUGCGGAGAAAAGAGUGAGACGAGCGAGGAAAAACUGCACAGGAGGAAUAAAAGUUGCGGAACGACGGAGA